GUGAGGAAUAUUGGACAAUGGGCGAAAGCCUGAUCCAGCCAUGCCGCGUGUGUGAAGAAGGUCUUCGGAUUGUAAAGCACUUUAAGUUGGGAGGAAGGGCAGUAAGUUAAUACCUUGCUGUUUUGACGUUACCGACAGAAUAAGCACCGGCUAACUUCGUGCCAGCAGCCGCGGUAAUACGAAGGGUGCAAGCGUUAAUCGGAAUUACUGGGCGUAAAGCGCGCGUCGGUGGUUUUGUAAGUUGGAGGUGAAAUCCCCGGGCUCAACCUGGGAACUGCCUCCAAAACUGCAUGACUAGAGUACGGUAGAGGGUAGUGGAAUUUCCUGUGUAGCGGUGAAAUGCGUAGAUAUAGGAAGGAACACCAGUGGCGAAGGCGACUACCUGGACUGAUGCUGACACUGAGGUGCGAAAGCGUGGGGAGCAAACAGGAUUAGAAACCCGGGUAGUCC
Molecule: ribosomal RNA, 450 nt
Filed under: uncultured bacterium
Lineage: Bacteria
Description: partial 16S ribosomal RNA
Rfam family: Bacterial small subunit ribosomal RNA
Source: RNAcentral